This 253-nucleotide ribosomal RNA is filed under the name uncultured bacterium. RNAcentral's name for it is "partial 16S ribosomal RNA". It matches the Rfam family "Bacterial small subunit ribosomal RNA", at positions 524 to 776 of the family's 1533-position model. The record is from RNAcentral.
UACGUAGGCAGCAAGCGUUGUUCGGAAUUACUGGGCGUAAAGAGUGUGUAGGCGGUGCUCUAAGUUCGGUGUGAAAUCUCCCGGCUUAACUGGGAGGGUGCGCCGGAAACUGGAGUGCUUGAGCGCGGGAGAGGAAAGCGGAAUUCCUGGUGUAGCGGUGAAAUGCGUAGAUAUCAGGAGGAACACCUGUGGUGUAGACGGCUUUCUGGACCGUAGCUGACGCUGAGACACGAAAGCGUGUGUAGCAAACAGG